RNAcentral lists this ribosomal RNA (845 nucleotides) under Muyocopron laterale. RNAcentral's name for it is "partial 28S ribosomal RNA". It matches the Rfam family "Eukaryotic large subunit ribosomal RNA", at positions 71 to 931 of the family's 3401-position model. The record is from RNAcentral. Lineage: Eukaryota; Fungi; Ascomycota; Dothideomycetes; Muyocopronales; Muyocopronaceae.
GGGAUUGCCUUAGUAACGGCGAGUGAAGCGGCAACAGCUCAAAUUUGAAAUCUGGCGUCUUUGGCGUCCGAGUUGUAAUUUGCAGAGGAUGCUUCGGCGUUGGCGCCGCCCAAAGUUCCUUGGAACGGGACGUCGCAGAGGGUGAGAGCCCCGUGUUCGGGCGGAUGCCUUCGCCGUGUGAAGCUCCUUCGACGAGUCGAGUUGUUUGGGAAUGCAGCUCAAAACGGGAGGUAAAUUUCUUCCAAAGCUAAAUACCGGCCGGAGACCGAUAGUGCACAAGUAGAGUGAUCGAAAGAUGAAAAGCACUUUGGAAAGAGAGUCAAACAGCGCGUGAAAUUGUUAAAAGGGAAGCGCUUGCGGUCAGAACUUGGCCGCCGUUGCUCGGGGAGGUCUUGCGCCUCCCUCGCUCUUCGGCGGCUGGGCCAGCAUCGGUUCGGGCGGCUCGAGAAAGGUCGCGGGAAUGUAGCUCCCUCCGGGGAGUGUUAUAGCCCGCGGCGCAAUAGGGCCCGCCUGGACCGAGGUCUGCGCAUUUGCUCGGAUGCUGGCGUAAUGGCCCCAAGCGGCCCGUCUUGAAACACGGACCAAGGAGUCUAACAUUCGUGCGAGUGUUCGGGUGUCAAACCCGUGCGCGCAAUGAAAGUGAACGUAGGUGGGAACCCCUCGUGGGCGCACCAUCGACCGAUCCUGAUGUCUUCGGAUGGAUUUGAGUAUGAGCACGUAUGUUGGGACCCGAAAGAUGGUGAACUAUGCCUAAGCAGGGCGAAGCCAGAGGAAACUCUGGUGGAGGCUCGCAGCGGUUCUGACGUGCAAAUCGAUCGUCAAAUUUGGGUAUAGGGGCGAAAGAC